GGUUGUGGCUCAGUGGUACAGUGCUCGCCUAGCACACAUGUGAGGCCCUGGGUUCAAUCCUAAGCACCA
This 69-nucleotide transfer RNA is filed under the name Marmota monax (woodchuck). Its description in RNAcentral is "tRNA.Ala". The record is from RNAcentral. Lineage: Eukaryota; Metazoa; Chordata; Mammalia; Rodentia; Sciuridae.